RNAcentral lists this ribosomal RNA (225 nucleotides) under uncultured bacterium. RNAcentral's name for it is "partial 16S ribosomal RNA". It matches the Rfam family "Bacterial small subunit ribosomal RNA", at positions 116 to 334 of the family's 1533-position model. The record is from RNAcentral.
CGUGGUAACCUAACCCAUCAGAGGGGGAUAACACUUGGAAACAGGUGCUAAUACCGCAUAACAGUUUAUGCCGCAUGGCAUAAGAGUGAAAGGCGCUUUCGGGUGUCGCUGAUGGAUGGACCCGCGGUGCAUUAGCUAGUUGGUGAGGUAACGGCUCACCAAGGCCACGAUGCAUAGCCGACCUGAGAGGGUGAUCGGCCACAUUGGGACUGAGACACGGCCCAA